RNAcentral lists this ribosomal RNA (696 nucleotides) under uncultured bacterium. RNAcentral's name for it is "bacterial SSU rRNA". It matches the Rfam family "Bacterial small subunit ribosomal RNA", at positions 32 to 715 of the family's 1533-position model. The record is from RNAcentral.
AACGCUAGCUACAGGCUUAACACAUGCAAGUCGAGGGGAAACGACAUCGAAAGCUUGCUUUCGAUGGGCGUCGACCGGCGCACGGGUGAGUAACGCGUAUCCAACCUGCCCACCACUUGGGGAUAACCUUGCGAAAGUAAGACUAAUACCCAAUGAUAUCCCACGAAGGCAUCCGAAUGGGAUUAAAGAUUUAUCGGUGAUGGAUGGGGAUGCGUCUGAUUAGCUUGUUGGCGGGGUAACGGCCCACCAAGGCUACGAUCAGUAGGGGUUCUGAGAGGAAGGUCCCCCACAUUGGAACUGAGACACGGUCCAAACUCCUACGGGAGGCAGCAGUGAGGAAUAUUGGUCAAUGGGCGAGAGCCUGAACCAGCCAAGUAGCGUGCAGGAUGACGGCCCUAUGGGUUGUAAACUGCUUUUAUAAGGGAAUAAAGUGGGUCUCGUGAGACUUUUUGCAUGUACCUUAUGAAUAAGGACCGGCUAAUUCCGUGCCAGCAGCCGCGGUAAUACGGAAGGUCCGGGCGUUAUCCGGAUUUAUUGGGUUUAAAGGGAGCGUAGGCCGGAGAUUAAGCGUGUUGUGAAAUGUAGUGGCUCAACCUCUGCACUGCAGCGCGAACUGGUCUUCUUGAGUACGCACAACGUGGGCGGAAUUCGUGGUGUAGCGGUGAAAUGCUUAGAUAUCACGAAGAACUCCGAUUG